RNAcentral lists this ribosomal RNA (372 nucleotides) under uncultured Glomeromycotina. RNAcentral's name for it is "LSU rRNA". The record is from RNAcentral. Lineage: Eukaryota; Fungi; Glomeromycota.
UUGAAAGGGAAACGAUUGAAGUCAGUCGUACCGGCGGGUAAUCAGCCUUUUGGGCGUGAUUAUGUGGAGCGUGAGGAGUUAAUCACCCUCAUCUUUGCAUAUUCGUGCACUUUGGGUGUACUUGCUCGUGUGGUAGGUUAACAUCAAUUUUGAUCGUCAUAAAAUGAUUGGGGGAAUGUAGCUUCGAUCUCGUAUUGAAGUGUUAUAGCCUUCGGUAGAUGUGAUGAUUGGGAUUGAGGAUUGCAACGGAUACCCUUCGGGGCUACCUGUCUGAUCUCUGAAAGUUGCUCUGGUGCUGAAAGCUUGCUUACGGUAUCAAAGUUGACGUUCAACAGGUUAGAACGGGAUAAAUUCGUUAAGGAUGUUGACGUA